AACAGCAGCCAUAUCACCCUGCAGCUCACAACUGGCAACCCACUGAAGCUAAGCAGGUGUGAGCCUGGUCAGUACCUGGAUAAAAGACCUCCUGGGAAAUACUAAGGUUGCUGCUGGAA
This 119-nucleotide ribosomal RNA is filed under the name Lepisosteus oculatus (spotted gar). Lineage: Eukaryota; Metazoa; Chordata; Actinopteri; Semionotiformes; Lepisosteidae. The record is from RNAcentral.